CGUAAAUGUGUACAAAAUUUAACCAAAGAAUUGUAGUGAAAAUUAAUAUUAAAAAAAAAAACAACAACAACAAGUGCUAAAACAACAUGAAUGCAACAACACGCCUAAAUUCAGCAAAUAAUUUCGCAAAUUGCAACAACCACAUAGAGUCGAACUUUGGCAGUGCAAAAUCCAGCAGCAACAACAACAUCUACAAACGCAUACCUGCAGUAACAACAACAACAAAAACAAAAACAACACAUUCCUAUAGCGACAACAAUACCAACAACAAUCUGCCGCUACAACAAACCGCCAGCAACGGAAUAGCCGCAGGCCAACAACAGCAACGACUGUGUUCACCAGCACCGGCUGAGACGGCGACAAGCCGAGAAUGUUCCAGCGUUGCAUACAGCACGUUGACAACAAUGCGACUGGUGGGGGCCAAGGAGUCGAGCGCGGCGGCGGCCGAUACCGAGGAGGCGAGGACUAAAUUGAUGCCAGCAACGGCAAUUAAAAUCAUCAGCGUCAAUAAUAGCAAGAGCAACAAUAACAAUACUAAAGCGCAUAAGAACUUAAGCAGCAACAAUAAAAACAAUCACAACAACAACAACAACUUGGACAACAACAUCAACAAAUCAACAACGAAAUCGACAGGAACAACUGGUGCCAAAUUAGACUCAUCGAUGUUGAUUAAUGCUCGCAAUCAAUUGUCGACAAUAACAACAACAACGUCUGAACGGCGACAACAACAAGAACAAAUGGGACAACAACAAACAGAACACAUGUUGUCCAUAACAAGGGACCUCAAUCAAAUCAAUUUAAAAUCAUCACUUUACGCCGAACAACAAGUACACAACGCCAACAAUAACAACAACAAGCACAAUUGUAGAGGCAACAAGCAGCAGGAGCAGCAGCAACAAAAUAGCUUGAGUACAAACGUCAGUAGCGACAACAACAAUGGUAGUAGUAAUAAUAAGCACAGCAGUGCGGGUAAUAAUAAUAGGCAAAAACAACAACAACAAAUCAUAAAUUGCAACAACAACAACAGCAGUAAGGACUGUGAUCAAGCAAUUGACAAGAACAAAAACACGCACAACAACAGAAGAAUAAUGAAAAAUUACGACAACAACAACAACAACAACAGUAAGGGGAGCAAUGAGCCACAGCCACAACAACAACAACAGCAGCUGAUAACGCUAACAAUAGCGAAAGCUGUGCAAACGGAAACGAAAGCGAUGGUCAGUGAGAAAAUAAGCACAACAACGAAAGUAAACACAACUACAACCACAACAACAACAACACCGACACCGACAAUUGAAAGAGCGAAAGCCAAGUCGACAAAGCUUACGCUACGCAAAUCAUUCUCCACACCCGCUUCAUUUAAGAUUGCUGACGUUGCAGCCGCGAUGAGCCAGAGCGGCGGCAGCAUGAUGAUUGCCUACAACAACAACAACAAUAGCAGAGCAAGCGAGAGCUAUAGCAAAAGCGUGAGUAAAGCGUUGCCAAAGUCGGAGCUGUUGAGUGGCAAGAAAAGUGAUAGUGAUGGUGGUGGUGAUGUUGUUGUGGGCGGUGGAGGUCAUGUACGCGGCGCUGCCACAUGCACAAUGCAGCCAGCGACGCAGUCUGCUGUGGCAUCGCCAAAAGUAAACUUUGCACCAUCGCCGGCAAUAAUCACCAAUGCGACACAGCGCGCUAAUGCUUCAAUUGAGUCAAUAACUACAGUAGCAAAAACAACAGCGACAACAAAAACAAGUACAACAACAACAAUAAGCGCAUCACCGCAGCUUGCCACAGUGGAUGUCGCAAGGCGUUCGCAGACUGCCGCGCAUGCCUCGCAUGCCUCGCAACAAGACCCACCACAAGAGCGACAGCUGCAGCAACAACAACAACAACUACGGCAACAACAAUACCAGCAGUCAAGCACGAAAUCAGUAAAAGCGAAAGAUAAUGAUAAUCAAGUCAUUUGCGGCCACAAAAGUAUUUCGAAUGAUGGCAAUGUUGUUGCUGUUGCCGACACGACAACCACCUCGUCGCCGUUGCCGCUGUCCCCCGUUAGCUUCGAUUUGGAUUUGCGCUUCGGUUGUGCGCAUUACAAGCGCCGCGCCAUGUUUGUGACACCCUGCUGUAAUAAAUUCUACAAAUGUCGUUUUUGUCAUGAUGAAAAUGAGUCGCAUCAUUUCGAUCGUAAAACAUUAACCGAAUUGAUUUGCUCCGAGUGCAAUACACGACAGAAAGUACAGGAGCAAUGUGAGGCUUGUGGCACGCGAUUUGGCAAGUACACCUGCCUCAUCUGUAAUCUAUUCGACGACACCGACAAGAAGCAAUAUCACUGUAACGGUUGCGGCAUUUGCCGCAUUGGCGGCGCUGAGAACUUCUUUCAUUGCAAAGUGUGCGACAUGUGCCUGCCGAUUCGAUUGAAGAUCGAUGGACAUCGGUGCGUCGAGAAUAUUUCACGUUCGCAUUGUCCCGUUUGCCUGGGCGACAUACACACAUCACGUAUACCAUGUCACAUACCCGAUUGCGGUCAUCUACUACAUAAGACGUGCUUUGAUCAAUUGCUCAACUCGGGACACUAUACAUGCCCCAUUUGUCAGACAUCGUUAAUUGAUAUGACUGCGCUAUGGGAGUACUUGGAUGCGCAAGCGGUGUCCCUGCCGGUACCAAAGAAAUAUGAGAAUCAACGUAUACAUAUUUUUUGCAACGACUGUCAUAAGACCUCUAAGACCAAAUUCAAUUUUAUCGGUUUGAAAUGUAUGCAAUGCGGCGCUUAUAAUACAACACAGGAUGUCAAGCGACGUAUGUCAUUGGUCACAGAUGAACCUUCAUCAGCAUGACGCUGCACCCAUUUUCCUACUAUAACCUCACAUAUUUUUGCAAGCCAAAUUGCAUCCCUUUUUGUUGGAGUCAACGUCAAACACUGAAACUCUUGCCAUUUUGAGAUUAUGCACUGCUACAGUGAGCGCCGCCGCUGCAAAGGAAUGCUGUGAAGCGUGAAAUAACCGCAACUGGUGCUACUAUGUAAAGUACAUAUGCACAUACAUACAAGUACAGACAUGAUAAUGUAUGUAUGUGUGGGUGUGUCAGUCGUUGAAUUAACUGUUGCGGCAUUUGCCGGAAUGUAGAUGACUCGUCGGUUAAUUCGAGCUGACAUCGAAUACCUGAAUCGAAUUACAACGCAUAAUUUUGAAAAUACACUACUAAAUACAGUAAUAUUAAAUCGCA
RNAcentral lists this unclassified non-coding RNA (3201 nucleotides) under Bactrocera tryoni. RNAcentral's name for it is "putative uncharacterized protein DDB_G0289263, transcript variant X1". Lineage: Eukaryota; Metazoa; Arthropoda; Insecta; Diptera; Tephritidae. The record is from RNAcentral.